This 459-nucleotide ribosomal RNA is filed under the name uncultured bacterium. Its description in RNAcentral is "partial 16S ribosomal RNA". It matches the Rfam family "Bacterial small subunit ribosomal RNA", at positions 338 to 795 of the family's 1533-position model. The record is from RNAcentral.
CCUACGGGUGGCAGCAGUGAGGAAUAUUGGUCAAUGGCCGAGAGGCUGAACCAGCCAAGUCGCGUGAGGGAAGAAGGCCCUACGGGUUGUAAACCUCUUUUGUCGGGGAGCUAAGAGAGUCAAGUGUGACUCAUUGAGAGUACCCGAAGAAACAGCAUCGGCUAACUACGUGCCAGCAGCCGCGGUAAUACGGAGGAUGCGAGCGUUAUCCGGGUUUAUUGGGUUUAAAGGGUGCGCAGGCGGAGGUGCAAGUCAGCGGUCAAAUUGCGGGGCUCAACCCCGUACUGCCGUUGAAACUGCAUGCCUUGAGUGCGCGAGAGGUAUGCGGAAUGCGUGGUGUAGCGGUGAAAUGCAUAGAUAUCACGCAGAACACCGAUUGCGAAGGCAGCAUACCGGCGCGCAACUGACGCUCAUGCACGAAAGCGUGGGUAUCGAACAGGAUUAGAUACCCUAGUAGUC